GAUGAACGCUGGCGGCGUGCCUAAUACAUGCAAGUCGAGCGAACAGAUGAGGAGCUUGCUCCUCUGACGUUAGCGGCGGACGGGUGAGUAACACGUGGAUAACCUACUUCUAAGACUGGGAUAACUUCGGGAAACCGGAGCUAAUACCGGAUAAUAUAUUGAACCGCAUGGUUCAAUAGUGAAAGACGGUUUUGCUGUCACUUAUAGAUGGAUCCGCGCCGCAUUAGCUAGUUGGUAAGGUAACGGCUUACCAAGGCAACGAUGCGUAGCCGACCUGAGAGGGUGAUCGGCCACACUGGAACUGAGACACGGUCCAGACUCCUACGGGAGGCAGCAGUAGGGAAUCUUCCGCAAUGGGCGAAAGCCUGACGGAGCAACGCCGCGUGAGUGAUGAAGGUCUUCGGAUCGUAAAACUCUGUUAUUAGGGAAGAACAAAUGUGUAAGUAACUAUGCACGUCUUGACGGUACCUAAUCAGAAAGCCACGGCUAACUACGUG
This 497-nucleotide ribosomal RNA is filed under the name uncultured bacterium. Its description in RNAcentral is "partial 16S ribosomal RNA". It matches the Rfam family "Bacterial small subunit ribosomal RNA", at positions 28 to 507 of the family's 1533-position model. The record is from RNAcentral.